AUGCGUUAAAGAUUGGGAAAUACCUCAAUCUUCGAUGUGAGGCCAAGGCUGGCACCUCAUGCUACUUUCAUCUGAACAAUGGUGACUCACACUUUAAAAAAGUACCCUACAAAGACAAUGUCUGUGUGGAGAGAGUGGCAGUAGAGGAACUGCAGAGGAAGAGGAGCAGUGCUGGAGAGAUCUUCAUCACCUGUGCUGUGGAGCUAGUGGUAGGGUGAAAGAUACUGUGACAUCACAGCAUAGUGAACCCCUCGGUAUCACCAUAGACGGAGCUACUAGUUCCCCAUCAACGUUCAGUUUAAUCACAACUGGUCAGGAGAAGACAAGCAACAAUACCACAGCCCAAGGAAGAGGUACAAGGUUCCACGUCGUCAUCAGUCUGGGUACUUGUUCCCUUUUCCUGGUUCUGCUAGCUGUGUGUGUGCUGUGUGUUCUCCAACGCAAGUGUGGGGUUCAAGGCAGGCCUGUAAAUACUGGAAGCCCACCUGAGCAGCAAGACCAAACCUCACCUUGUGUCUAUUCUGUCAUCACAAAGCCUUCUAGGGAUGAGGAAGAGGACACUAGUCUGCAAUACGCUACAGUGACAUAUACCUGUGACCAAGCUAGUCGUCAAUAUGCAACAGUGACAUCUACCUGUAACCAAGUUGAACCUGGGCGCACCAAGAUCAAGUUUGAAAUAGCUGGAGAGUACGCCCUCUUAGCAGAAUCAUAGAAGAAGAAACAUUUACUGGAUAACAUGUUUUGCCAUAGUUUACAGUUACAAUCCUAUAUUUUGUUUUCAUAUUGGAUCAUAAUUUACUCAUAGUACAAAAACAAAUUCUGCCACAACAUCAAAGACUGAAGAUAUCUACUCCUUUCUGAAAACAAGCAUCUUCAACUAUUUACAUUUUAGGUUAAAUGAAAUAAAUGAAAAGUACACUGGUUGAAACAUAAAAUAAAUAUUUUUGUUAAUUGA
Long non-coding RNA from Oncorhynchus masou masou (cherry salmon), 955 nucleotides. RefSeq lists it as uncharacterized. The transcript is spliced from 7 exons. NCBI's taxonomy places the organism in Eukaryota, Metazoa, Chordata, Actinopteri, Salmoniformes, Salmonidae. The record is from RefSeq and is a predicted model, not a curated record.